RNAcentral lists this ribosomal RNA (502 nucleotides) under uncultured bacterium. Its description in RNAcentral is "bacterial SSU rRNA". It matches the Rfam family "Bacterial small subunit ribosomal RNA", at positions 1 to 526 of the family's 1533-position model. The record is from RNAcentral.
GAUUAGAGUUUGAUCAUGGCUCAGAUUGAACGCUGGCGGCAUGCCUAACACAUGCAAGUCGAACGAAGGCUUCGGCCUUAGUGGCGCACGGGUGCGUAACGCGUGGGAAUCUGCCCUCAGGUUCGGAAUAACAGCGAGAAAUUGCUGCUAAUACCGGAUGAUAUCGCGAGAUCAAAGAUUUAUCGCCUGAGGAUGAGCCCGCGUAGGAUUAGCUAGUUGGUGUGGUAAAGGCGCACCAAGGCGACGAUCCUUAGCUGGUCUGAGAGGAUGAUCAGCCACACUGGGACUGAGACACGGCCCAGACUCCUACGGGAGGCAGCAGUGGGGAAUAUUGGACAAUGGGCGAAAGCCUGAUCCAGCCAUGCCGCGUGUGUGAAGAAGGUCUUCGGAUUGAAAAGCACUUUAAGUUGGGAGGAAGGGCAGUUACCUAAUACGUGACUGUCUUGACGUUACCGACAGAAUAAGCACCGGCUAACUACGUGCCAGCAGCCGCGGUAAUAAU